RNAcentral lists this long non-coding RNA (275 nucleotides) under Elaeis guineensis (African oil palm). RNAcentral describes it as "long non-coding RNA (EGUI_LNC069808)". Lineage: Eukaryota; Viridiplantae; Streptophyta; Magnoliopsida; Arecales; Arecaceae. The record is from RNAcentral.
GGGGUCUCUAUUGGCUUGGCUUUCUCUCCUAAAUGAAUUCGAUAUUGGAUAAUUGAAGGAUUGAUCCCUUUGAUGUCAGCUAUGAUCCAGCCUAUGGCUUCCUUAUUCUCUCUAAGGACAGCUAAAAGUUUUUUCUCUUGGGUUUGAUCUAGGUCUGAUGCGAUGAUUACGGGUAGAGUUUUUGAUGGACCUAGAUAUGCAUAUUUGAGGUGCUCAGGGAGUGUUUUAAGUUCUAAUUUUGGUGCUUCCUCAAUCGAUGGCUUGUGUAUUGGUUC